CCUACGGGAGGCAGCAGUGAGGAAUAUUGGUCAAUGGGCGCGAGCCUGAACCAGCCAAGUCGCGUGAAGGAUGAAGGAACUAUGGUUUGUAAACUUCUUUUAUAUGGGAAUAAAGUGAGGAACGUGUUCCUGUUUGUAUGUACCUUAUGAAUAAGCAUCGGCUAACUCCGUGCCAGCAGCCGCGGUAAUACGGAGGAUGCGAGCGUUAUCCGGAUUUAUUGGGUUUAAAGGGUGCGUAGGUGGUUUAUUAAGUCAGCGGUGAAAGUUUGUGGCUCAACCAUAAAAUUGCCGUUGAAACUGGUGGACUUGAGUAGAGUUGAGGUAGGCGGAAUGCGUGGUGUAGCGGUGAAAUGCAUAGAUAUCACGCAGAACUCCGAUUGCGAAGGCAGCUUACUAAACUAUAACUGACACUGAAGCACGAAAGCGUGGGGAUCAAACAGGAUUAGAUACCCUAGUAGUC
Molecule: ribosomal RNA, 460 nt
Filed under: uncultured bacterium
Lineage: Bacteria
Description: partial 16S ribosomal RNA
Rfam family: Bacterial small subunit ribosomal RNA
Source: RNAcentral